Hibiscus syriacus is the source of this 149-nucleotide long non-coding RNA. RefSeq lists it as uncharacterized. The transcript has 3 exons. Lineage: Eukaryota; Viridiplantae; Streptophyta; Magnoliopsida; Malvales; Malvaceae. The record is from RefSeq and is a predicted model, not a curated record.
CGGGCAGCAAAAAAAAAGCAAAGAUCUUUGUUAAAGUGGGCUACUGAAAUUGCAGGGAUGCAAAACAUUUCCUCACCAACAAAGCUAGAGUUAUAAGCUAGUUGUGUGCAGGUAUACCUUGUGAAACUCCAAUGUGUCACCACCGGUUU